RNAcentral lists this ribosomal RNA (662 nucleotides) under Gephyromantis webbi. RNAcentral's name for it is "partial 16S ribosomal RNA". Lineage: Eukaryota; Metazoa; Chordata; Amphibia; Anura; Mantellidae. The record is from RNAcentral.
CUCGUACCUUUUGCAUCAUGGUCUAGCUAGUUUCAUCAGGCAAAACGAAUUUUAGUCUGAACCCCCGAAACUAGGUGAGCUACUUCGAAAUAGUUUUAAGAACAAACCCAUCUCUGUAGCAAUAGAGUGGGAUAAUUUCCAAGUAGAGGCGAUAAACCUACCGCACCUAGAGAUAGCUGGUUACUCAAGAGAGAAUAUUAGUUCAACCUUAAGCUUCUCAAUUAAAAGAAAAACAAAUAAAGCUUAAGAGCUACUUAAAUAAGGCACACCUUAUUUAAAAUAGGAUACAACCUAGAAUAUUGGGUAAUAUCUAAAAUGAAUUACAGGUGGGCCUAAAAGCAGCCACCCAUUAAAAAGCGUUAAAGCUUAACUUUCUUUAUACUUAAAUAUCAUUAUAUAUUUUUAACCCAUUAUUACUAUCGAGUAACUCCAUAAGCCUAUGGAAAUUAUUAUGCUAGAACUAGUAACAAGAAAUUAACUUUCUCCAAAAUGCAAGCCUCAGCCACAAUAGAUAUACUACUGGCAAUUAACGUUAAUGAACACAUUAUAGUAACACAACAAGAAAAACCUAUAAUCUUUAACGUCAACCUUACACUAGCGCACUCAUGGAAAGAUUAAAAGAAAAAGAAGGAACUCGGCAAAUCUUAACCCCGCCUGUUUAC